This is a non-coding RNA of Zootermopsis nevadensis, 205 nucleotides long. The record is from RefSeq and is a predicted model, not a curated record. Lineage: Eukaryota; Metazoa; Arthropoda; Insecta; Blattodea; Termopsidae.
UGUCGAAGGAACUCUAAAUGCUCUAUACUGUUUCAGAAUUCGCUGAUGGUAAUGGCAGAGCCCGAACCAAAGCCUGCAGGAGGUGUACAUGCUGCAAAAUAAAAGGAGGCAGAAAGCAGGUGCCCAUGCUUCGGGUAAUACAAAGACAACAAGUCUUAAUGUAAUGUUUCAUUGACUCAAAUAAAGAGAAAUGUAAGAAAGAAAA